GAUGAAGAACGUAGCGAAAUGCGAUAAGUAAUGUGAAUUGCAGAAUUCAGUGAAUCAUCGAAUCUUUGAACGCACAUUGCGCCCGCCAUUAUUCUGGCGGGCAUGCCUGUUCGAGCGUCAUUACAACCCUCAGGCCCCCGGGCCUGGCGUUGGGGAUCGGCGGAGCCCCCCGUGGGCACACGCCGUCCCCCAAAUGCAGUGGCGGUCCCGCCGCAGCUUCCAUCGCGUAGUAGCUAACACCUCGCGACUGGAGAGCGGCGCGGCCACGCCGUAAAACACCCAACUCUUCUGAAGUUGACCUCGAAUCAGGUAGGAAUACCCGCUGAACUUAAGCAUAUCAAUAAGCGGAGGA
Molecule: unclassified non-coding RNA, 352 nt
Filed under: soil metagenome
Description: partial contains 5.8S ribosomal RNA, internal transcribed spacer 2, and large subunit ribosomal RNA
Rfam family: 5.8S ribosomal RNA (bases 1-120)
Source: RNAcentral